CGCGCCGAAGCCCGGCUGGGCGGUGGGUGCCGGGUAUCCCCCGCGGAGGCAUCGGCUGUCCUGGUGCGGAGGCAGAGCGGGGCCAAACGUGACUGAGCGCUUCCUCAGGAAGCGGUGCGAACCUGCGGGCGGCCGGCAGCCAGCACCGUCCCCAGGUUGUAGCCUUUCCCUAGGAAACGGAGCCUGGGAUUCCCUGGCUCCUCCCUAGGGAGUGCUGCUUGGGCUGAUGGAGGCACUGGUGCUGGUGGUGCCCGGCGCCCGGCUGCCCGCAGAAGCCUCCAGAGCCAGGGCAGGGCAUUGCUCCUCUCCGCUUCCCGCUUGGGUUGUCGGGCUGCGGUGAGCUCGGCAGUCCCGUGGCAUCUGCAAGAGGACGGGAGCACCUGACCAGGGUGGCUUUGUCCGAAGCGGCUGCAGGGAAACGACCCUAAAAGCUGUUGCCUCCCAAAAAGCAGCCCUCCUGCAUCUGCCGAUAGUGAGGGACAUGGAGUGAAUGAAUCCUCCCUAAAUGAAAACGGAUGGGACGGCAUCCGAAGGCAGUGCGGUCAGCGCUGUCUCGCAAAACUUUGACCGCUGAGACGCACAACUCCCCAGCUGCUGCCAAAGACAUCAAAGCCGAUAGAUCAGGAAGUGUCAGUUUUGGAAAAGGAGGCUUUGCAAAAGCUGUGUACAACCUGAUAGUCCGGAUCCGCUCAGCAGACAGCACACGUAUCCCCCGCAGCAUCCAGGGGCGCGCACUUGGUGGGGGCUGGCCUAGGGCACGCCAAGCAGGCCUCAGGCGGGAGCCCCGAACACACCUUUCACAGGGCUUAGUGCCAGCACACCAUCUGUGAGCUCUGCACACAGCAGCACUCAUCCUACUUCUGCCAGGUGCCCACAAGCUCACAAGGACCGGCCUGAAGCAGCGAUCCCACUGAGAAGGCUCUAUUUUUACAGCGUUGAUGGGACCGUGCCGCUUCUUCUGGGAGCUCCGGAGAAGCUCCUCAUCCACCUGUGUGUGACAAUAAUAGCCGAUGAGUCAGGACAGCGGGGCUUUGUGACACUUCCAUCCCUCGUGUUGAGUCACCGGCCGGGAUGGGAUGGGUCCAGCUGGGAAAGCAACGUGCAGGAUGUGCCUGAAGCACAGAGCCAAAGCAGCAGGUCCUUUGGUGCGCCUGCCUGUGCGACCGAAAGCAAAUGGGGAUGGUACAUGCAAGCCAGGCUGGCUGCAGGCCUUCAGGCCGUGUCUGGAUCGUCACACUGCCCUGUGCAGGCUCAAGGUGCUUCCGUCAGAGUAACUUAACUGGAAUCCUUGAUCUGAAACCGAGUUUUCAGGAGAGCUCUUAGGGUGAUUCUGUGUUUGCUCACUGGCUUGUUUUCCCCUGUACAAGCAUUGUUUUAGGGCAGUAGUGGGGGUGUGCACGUGUCCUAAGGGUGCAUUUCUUUAACGUAAUGCAUCAUGUGGUGCAAGUGUAACAAUUAAUUCAGACACCCCCUCCACAAAGGAAAGCAGAAAUUCUUCUCAGCACGUAGAAAUCAAGUGCGCAAGUCUGUUUUCACUUACCCUGAACUCAGUCAGGAACUCAAUGAGUUUCAUCUGGGGGGAAUUAGUGAUGGAGAACGUGUCCUGAAUGUCCACAUACAUGAGCUGCUGUCUCAGAAUGUCCUCAGAUAACCCAUCCUCUUGGACAACGGCUGCUGUGUCAGCAGCGUAGUCAAUGAGAAGCUGGGUGAGGCUGUGGGGUGCUGCGGCAGCCUGCUUGCUCCAAGUACCCACACUUUUGCAAUGAACCUGAGCAGAGCCACGGCCGUCGCAGCAGUGGCUUUGUUGUACCCAUCCCCAUAGGCAGCACCGUGUGGUGUGUUACACUGACACGGGCUCUGGGGAGCAUUUCGAUUGUGUAAGGCUUCUCU
Molecule: long non-coding RNA, 1890 nt
Organism: Gallus gallus (chicken)
Lineage: Eukaryota; Metazoa; Chordata; Aves; Galliformes; Phasianidae
Source: Ensembl